UUUAACUUUUUCAGAAUAAUGGAUCCCUUACAUGGUGUCAGAAUCACAAGCAGUGUUCUAAGGAAAUUUUCUGCGAUCGAAGGUGACCAUGCCUUUGGAAAACACACCUGCACAAAACCUAACUGCUGGAUAUGAUACCCGCCAGUGACAGCAGAUAUGCAAAACCCAUCUUACAGGUCUUGCACUACAGGUAACUUACCUAUUAUCUGGAAACGUAUUACCAUGCACACCUUUCAACUGUCCCAGUUUUGGAGGAAUGUUCCUGUUUUCAAGCCUGAUUUAUGAUGUCCCUAUUUUGGAGGUAUGCCCCUAUUUUCAGGCUUGAUUUACCCCUUCAUACAAUUUUCUAAUUUCCAAUCAUCACAUGAUUUAUGAACUUGUCUAGUGAACUGAAAAUCACACUACAUGACCAAGAUACUGGUGACAGCAAUAAUUUAAGCAAAAAGGACUCACAUCUUACAACUGUCUUUUUCAGAACCAAAAAUAAAUGACCUUGUAUGGAAGAAUUUUGUGGUACAGUUCAUUAAAGGGUAGAUAUUU
Long non-coding RNA from Protopterus annectens (West African lungfish), 540 nucleotides. RefSeq lists it as uncharacterized. The transcript is spliced from 2 exons. The record is from RefSeq and is a predicted model, not a curated record. NCBI's taxonomy places the organism in Eukaryota, Metazoa, Chordata, Ceratodontiformes, Protopteridae.